GACGAACGCUGGCGGCGCGCCUAACACAUGCAAGUCGAACGGAGACAGGGAGGAGCUUGCUCCACCCUGUCUGAGUGGCGGACGGGUGAGUAACGCGUGAGUAACCUGCCUUAAAGAGGGGGAUAACGUCUGGAAACGGACGCUAAUACCGCAUGACAUACGGAGAUGGCAUCAUAACCGUAUCAAAGGAGGAAUCCGCUUUAAGAUGGACUCGCGUCCAAUUAGCUGGUUGGUGAGGUAACGGCUCACCAAGGCGACGAUUGGUAGCCGGACUGAGAGGUUGAACGGCCACAUUGGGACUGAGACACGGCCCAGACUCCUACGGGAGGCAGCAGUGGGGAAUAUUGCACAAUGGGGGGAACCCUGAUGCAGCGACGCCGCGUGAGGGAAGAAGGUUUUCGGAUUGUAAACCUCUGUCCUUGGUGACGAU
This 430-nucleotide ribosomal RNA is filed under the name uncultured bacterium. RNAcentral describes it as "bacterial SSU rRNA". It matches the Rfam family "Bacterial small subunit ribosomal RNA", at positions 28 to 449 of the family's 1533-position model. The record is from RNAcentral.